Molecule: long non-coding RNA, 2353 nt
Organism: Tachyglossus aculeatus (Australian echidna)
Lineage: Eukaryota; Metazoa; Chordata; Mammalia; Monotremata; Tachyglossidae
Exons: 2
Source: RefSeq, a predicted model, not a curated record
AUCCUGACUCGGACUCUGAUUUGGUGGGUAGAGGGAGACGCUAUCCCACACAGUUUGGGGGCUCGUCUGGUACCCUCUCCGAAGGGGGAAAGCCUCCCUUGGCCUUGGCUGACUUGCAGGACGUCCCACUGAAAUUUUCAGUGGCCCUCGGUCUGACCUGCGAAGAGCUCUCCUCUGACGAGAAAAGACCCGAGGAGAGACCAGAGCCGGGAUCAGAAACAGCCAUGGGGGCAUGACGACGGUCACUCGUGGGAACAAUUGGUCACAGGAAGGGGAUUAUUGCUCAAAGCCCUCCGAUGGGAUAUCCUGUACAUAAAUUCCAGCCCGGUGAUUGGAUCCUCAUUCGGGCGUGGAAGGGGGAAAAGCUGACACCGACCUGGGAAGGCCUGUUCCAGAUAUUGCUCACCGCAGACACAGUGGUGCAGACUAAAGAAAGAAGCUGGACUCAUUAUACCAGAGUGAAGGGACUUGUCCAACAACCGUUAGAGUGGACAAUUGCCUCCUCAGAUCCUGACCGUAUGAAGACCACCAUCCAGAGAGGCCCAGAGAGACAGAUAUCCCUCGGGAAUAAGAAAGGACUAGUAACCCCGAUUCUCCUCUUAAACGUGGGCUGCCUUGAUCAUCUGCAUCCAGAGACUGCAGACUUUAUGACCCCUGAAGGUUACCUCCAGUAGGGACAGUGGGUUCUCGGAGCUUGUUUUGGUUUGCCUUUUGUGGUUGGGGGUCUAUUUUUAAUGUGCCUGUACCUUAGGAAUUGUAACUCCAUUAGGCAGGACACUUCUCCUCCUUCUGGAGCAGAUGUGACGAGUCCUGGUGGGACCAUGUGGGCAAGUGUGAGUGGAAAGAGUCCCGACAGUUGUGGAGAUGCCAGUAUGAUUCCACCAGUGGUGUCCUGGGAGGAUCCCUAGGGGACGAAACCAUGCAGAACUACUACCCCAGGCCAAAUUACAACAGGACCCGACUAUUUGAGGAGGAGAGAGAACAGCCAGCGCUAAAGGGUCAUUAUUGGAUCUGCGGCCUGACCGCAUAUACACACCUGCCUGCAGAUUGGUCAGUCAGCUGUUAUAUUGGCUUAAUUAGACCAAAAUUCUUUCUCCAGCCGGGGCAGGAGGGAAAUCACUUAAGACGAUAAUUUAAAAGAUGAGAGAAAAGAGGUCUCUCGAUACUUCGUUAACAAGUACUGGGAACACAAACGGGUGGGGAGACCAGUGGCCUCCGGAAAGAAUAAUAAGGACCUACGGUCUGGCCACGUGGGCUCAGGAUGGGAGUUGGGGGUACCAAACUCCGAUUUACAUGCUCAACCGGCUAAUUAGACUCCAGGCGGUUUUAAAAAUUAAAACUAACCAAACGGCGAGAGCCCUUGGUCUGUUAGCAGAACAGGCCACUCAAAUCAGGGAGGCUGUCUUACAGCAUCAGCUGGCUUUAGACUAUUUAUUAGCGGCUGAAGGGGCUGUGUGUGGAAAAUUAAGCCUGUCAAACUGUUGUCUAAAAAUUGAUGAUAAUGGGAGGGUAGUCAUGGAAAUAGCUCAGGAGAUAAGGAAACUAGCCCAUGUUCCUGUGCAAACCUGGAAGACUCCUUUUUGUACCUCAUGGAUGUCUUGGUUUGGAGGCGGCUGGUGGAGACAAGUUUUAUGGUUCUUGCUUCUUGCUAUAAGUGGAAUAAUACUCCUUCCUAACUGUCUGCCCUGUAUGAUGAAAUUAAUCACUAGGACAGUACAGAGUUCAAUCCAGAAGAUGUUGCAAGUAUCGGGGAAUGGAAAAUUAAAAUUAUGAUCAUGAGAGCACAAGGAUGGAUCCCUUAAAUACUAUGGACCCAUCUGAUUCCGAUGAGCAUCCUCGGGAAGAAAUGAUCGAGGAGGUGUAUCUGCAAUGGUGUGAGGAAACUUCAGGGAGGAUAAAAGAAAAAGGGGGGAUUGUGAGGGAUGGAACCCAGUGAAGUUCCCUCAUGAGACCCCAGGAGGGAAGUAAGAAGCUAUCUCCCCGGGCCAGGCUGGGUUGCACCAGAUACAACAAACCGGAAGGAGAAAAGGGAAAUAAAACAGCCACAUUGCAGAACCUGCUUACCGAAAAACAGGAUGCAGCUAACCGAAAAACAGGAUGCAGCUUAAAUCGCAAGGCCACUGUCAGCCUUGUACGCGAGCGCGUGUUGGGUGCUAGCUGCCGCGAUUAAAUUGUACGCCCUAAGUAUCCAGCCAAUGGAGAAAGGGGAUAGUCGGUGGGAGGAAGAGGAUGCGUUAGGGCUAUAAAGAUAGGCUUCACACAAUCAACAAGCGCACUCCCGGCUGAUGUUGUUUGAGCGAUGGGGGUGGUGCCCUUUCUCAUGAGAAAGAAUAAAGACUCUUUCUGAUCCUGA